CGGGCGGGGGGCUAUACAUGCAAGUAGAACGCUGAGGAUUGGUGCUUGCACUAAUCCAAAGAGUUGCGAAGGGGUGAGUAACGCGUAGGUAACCUACCUCAUAGCGGGGGAUAACUAUUGGAAACGAUAGCUAAUACCGCAUGACACUAGAGUACACAUGUACUUAAUUUAAAAGGAGCAAUUGCUUCACUAUGAGAUGGACCUGCGUUGUAUUAGCUAGUUGGUGAGGUAACGGCUCACCAAGGCGACGAUACAUAGCCGACCUGAGAGGGUGAUCGGCCACACUGGGACUGAGACACGGCCCAGACUCCUACGGGAGGCAGCAGUAGGGAAUCUUCGGCAAUGGACGGAAGUCUGACCGAGCAACGCCGCGUGAGUGAAGAAGGUUUUCGGAUCGUAAAGCUCUGUUGUUAGAGAAGAACGGUAAUGGGAGUGGAAAAUCCAUUACGUGACGGUAACUAACCAGAAAGGGACGGCUAACUACGUGCCAGCAGCCGCGGUAAUACGUAGGUCUCGAGCGUUGUCCGGAUUUAUUGGGCGUAAAGCGAGCGCAGGCGGUUCUAUAAGUCUGAAGUAAAAGGCAGUGGCUCAACCAUUGUAUGCUUUGGAAACUGUAGAACUUGAGUGCAGAAGGGGAGAGUGGAAUUCCAUGUGUAGCGGUGAAAUGCGUAUAUAUAUGGAGGAACACCGGUGGCGAAAGCGGCUCUCUGGUCUGUAACUGACGCUGAGGCUCGAAAGCGUGGGGAGCAAACAGGAUUAGAUACCCUGGUAGUCCACGCCGUAAACGAUGAGUGCUAGGUGUUAGGCCCUUUCCGGGGGCUUAGUGCCGCAGCUAACGCAUUAAGCACUCCGCCUGGGAGAGUACGAGCGCAAGGGUUGACAUCUCAAAGGAAUUGACGGGGGCCCGCACAAGCGGUGGAGCAUGUGGUUUUAAUUUCGAAAGCAACGCGAAGAACCUUUACCAGGUCUUGACAUCCCUCUGACCCGUUCUAGAGAUAGGAUUUUUUCCUUUCGAGACAGAGAGACAGGUUGUGCAUGGUUUGUCGUCAGCUCGUGUCGUGAGAUUGUUGGUAUAAGUCCGCACGAAGCGCAACCCCCUAUUGGUUAGGUUGCCAUUCAUUAGUUGGGCACUCUAGCGAACUGGCCGGUAAUAACCGGAAGAAUGUUGGAGAUUGAACGGUUACGAU
This 1187-nucleotide ribosomal RNA is filed under the name Streptococcus iniae. RNAcentral's name for it is "bacterial SSU rRNA". It matches the Rfam family "Bacterial small subunit ribosomal RNA", at positions 36 to 1193 of the family's 1533-position model. Lineage: Bacteria; Bacillati; Bacillota; Bacilli; Lactobacillales; Streptococcaceae. The record is from RNAcentral.